RNAcentral lists this ribosomal RNA (253 nucleotides) under uncultured bacterium. RNAcentral describes it as "partial 16S ribosomal RNA". It matches the Rfam family "Bacterial small subunit ribosomal RNA", at positions 524 to 776 of the family's 1533-position model. The record is from RNAcentral.
UACGUAGGGCGCAAGCGUUAUCCGGAAUUAUUGGGCGUAAAGAGCUCGUAGGCGGUUUGUCACGUCUGCUGUGAAAACUGGAGGCUCAACCUCCAGCCUGCAGUGGGUACGGGCAGACUGGAGUGCGGUAGGGGAGAUUGGAAUUCCUGGUGUAGCGGUGGAAUGCGCAGAUAUCAGGAGGAACACCGAUGGCGAAGGCAGAUCUCUGGGCCGUAACUGACGCUGAGGAGCGAAAGCAUGGGGAGCGAACAGG